RNAcentral lists this ribosomal RNA (369 nucleotides) under uncultured bacterium. RNAcentral describes it as "bacterial SSU rRNA". It matches the Rfam family "Bacterial small subunit ribosomal RNA", at positions 30 to 403 of the family's 1533-position model. The record is from RNAcentral.
AUUGAACGCUGGCGGCAUGCCUUACACAUGCAAGUCGAACGGUAGAGUAGCAAUACUCGAGAGUGGCGAACGGGUGAGUAACAUAUCGGAACGUGCCCAAUCGUGGGGGAUAACGUAGAGAAAUUUACGCUAAUACCGCAUACGAUCUAAGGAUGAAAGCGGGGGAUCGCAAGACCUCGCGCGAUUGGAGCGGCUGAUAUCAGAUUAGGUUGUUGGUGAGGUAAAAGCUCACCAAGCCGACGAUCUGUAGCUGGUUUGAGAGAACGACCAGCCACACUGGGACUGAGACACGGCCCAGACUCCUACGGGAGGCAGCAGUGGGGAAUUUUUGGGACAAUGGGCGAAAGCCUGAUCCAGCAAUGCCGCGUG